RNAcentral lists this ribosomal RNA (498 nucleotides) under uncultured bacterium. Its description in RNAcentral is "bacterial SSU rRNA". It matches the Rfam family "Bacterial small subunit ribosomal RNA", at positions 21 to 518 of the family's 1533-position model. The record is from RNAcentral.
GGCUCAGGACGAACGCUGGCGGUAUGCUUAACACAUGCAAGUCGAACGAGACGAGAUGGAAGGAUCCUUCGGGUGACGGAAAUCUUAGAAAGUGGCGAACGGGUGAGUAACGCGUGGGUAACCUGCCCUAUGGAAAGGAAUAGCCUCGGGAAACUGGGAGUAAUGCCUUAUAAUACAUUGAAGUCGCAUGGCUUUGAUGUUAAACGCUCCGGUGCCAUAGGAUGGACCCGCGUCCCAUUAGCUAGUUGGUGAGAUAACAGCCCACCAAGGCGACGAUGGGUAACCGGUCUGAGAGGGCGAACGGUCACACUGGAACUGAGACACGGUCCAGACUCCUACGGGAGGCAGCAGUGGGGAAUAUUGCGCAAUGGGGGAAACCCUGACGCAGCAAUACCGCGUGAGUGAAGAAGGUUUUCGGAUCGUAAAGCUCUGUUAUUGGGGAAGAAAAAAGACGGUACCCAAGAAGAAAGUCCCGGCUAACUACGUGCCAGCCGCCGC